CUUUAAAUAAGCUAAGUAUAAGCUACUGGGCUCAUAACCCAGAAAUGAUGAUAUGUCUUUAAAGGCCA
This 68-nucleotide transfer RNA is filed under the name Cerion coloni. RNAcentral's name for it is "tRNA-Met". The record is from RNAcentral. Lineage: Eukaryota; Metazoa; Mollusca; Gastropoda; Stylommatophora; Cerionidae.